This 58-nucleotide transfer RNA is filed under the name Tectaria sp. Zhang et al. 7827. RNAcentral describes it as "partial tRNA-Leu". Lineage: Eukaryota; Viridiplantae; Streptophyta; Polypodiopsida; Polypodiales; Tectariaceae. The record is from RNAcentral.
GAACGAAAAUCCGUUGGUUUCACGAAACCGUGAGGGUUCGAAUCCCUCUAUCCCCAGC